UACGAAGGGGGCUAGCGUUGUUCGGAUUUACUGGGCGUAAAGCGCACGUAGGCGGCUCGUUAAAUCGGGGGUGAAAUCCUGGAGCUCAACUCCAGAACUGCCUUCGAUACUGGCGAUCUUGAGUCCGGAAGAGGUGAGUGGAACUCCUAGUGUAGAGGUGGAAUUCGUAGAUAUUAGGAAGAACACCAGUGGCGAAGGCGGCUCACUGGUCCGGUACUGACGCUGAGGUGCGAAAGCGUGGGGAGCAAACAGG
This 253-nucleotide ribosomal RNA is filed under the name uncultured bacterium. RNAcentral describes it as "partial 16S ribosomal RNA". It matches the Rfam family "Bacterial small subunit ribosomal RNA", at positions 524 to 776 of the family's 1533-position model. The record is from RNAcentral.